AUUAAAAGAAGUUCAAAGUAGCCGCCUCGAUUCCCAAAGUGUCUCAGGGAAGGAAAAAAAAAAAAGGGUUUUUCAUUUGUUUGUUUGUUUAUAACAAAGUGAAAGAAAGAAAAGAAAGAAGACAGCAAGAAUGGAAGAAAGAAAGACAGAAAGAUAACACAAAAUAUGAAAUGACCCAGCCAGCAAAGAUGCUUACCACCAAGCCUGACUACCUGAGUUCUGUCU
Molecule: long non-coding RNA, 225 nt
Filed under: Rattus norvegicus (Norway rat)
Lineage: Eukaryota; Metazoa; Chordata; Mammalia; Rodentia; Muridae
Description: long non-coding RNA NONRATT032436
Source: RNAcentral